Molecule: small nuclear RNA, 18 nt
Filed under: Arabidopsis thaliana (thale cress)
Lineage: Eukaryota; Viridiplantae; Streptophyta; Magnoliopsida; Brassicales; Brassicaceae
Description: snRNA_02874
Source: RNAcentral
UGAGAACUUUGAAGGCCG